UUCGGGUUGUAAAGUACUUUCAGCGGGGAGGAAGGGUUCAGCUUGAACAGAGCUGGAUUUUGACGUUACCCGCAGAAGAAGCACCGGCUAACUCCGUGCCAGCAGCCGCGGUAAUACGGAGGGUGCAAGCGUUAAUCGGAAUGACUGGGCGUAAAGCGCACGCAGGCGGUCAAUUAAGUUAGAUGUGAAAUCCCCGGGCUCAACCUGGGAAUGGCAUCUAAGACUGGUUGGCUGGAGUCUCGUAGAGGGGGGUAGAAUUCCAUGUGUAGCGGUGAAAUGCGUAGAGAUGUGGAGGAAUACCGGUGGCGAAGGCGGCCCCCUGGACGAAGACUGACGCUCAGGUGCGAAAGCGUGGGGAGCAAACAGGAUUAGAUACCCUGGUAGUCCACGCUGUAAACGAUGUCGAUUUGGAGGUUGUGGCCUUGAGCUGUGGCUUCCGAAGCUAACGCGUUAAAUCGACCGCCUGGGGAGUACGGCCGCAAGGUUAAAACUCAAAUGAAUUGACGGGGCCCGCACAAGCGGUGGAGCAUGUGGUUUAAUUCGAUGCAACGCGAAGAACCUUACCUACUCUUGACAUCCAGAGAAAGACCUCAGAGAUGAGGUUGUGCCUUCGGGAGCUCUGAGACAGGUGCUGCAUGGCUGUCGUCAGCUCGUGUUGUGAAAUGUUGGGUUAAGUCCCGCAACGAGCGCAACCCUUAUCCUUUGUUGCCAGCGCGUAAUGGCGGGAACUCAAAGGAGACUGCCGGUGAUAAACCGGAGGAAGGUGGGGAUGACGUCAAGUCAUCAUGGCCCUGACGGAGUAGGGCUACACACGUGCUACAAUGGCGGAUACAAAGUGAAGCGACCUCGCGAGAGCAAGCGGAACACACAAAGUCUGUCGUAGUCCGGAUUGGAGUCUGCAACUCGACUCCAUGAAGUCGGAAUCGCUAGUAAUCGUAGAUCAGCAUGCUACGGUGAAUACGUUUCCCGGGGCCUUGUACACACCGCCCGUCACACCAUGGGAGUGGGUUGCAAAAAGAAGUCGGUAGCUUAACCGCAAGGAGGGCGCUGACCACUUUGUGGCUCAUGACUGGGGUGAAGUCGUAACAAGGUAACCGUAGGGGAACCUGCGGUUGGAUCACCUCCUUACCU
RNAcentral lists this ribosomal RNA (1131 nucleotides) under Photorhabdus luminescens subsp. luminescens. RNAcentral describes it as "bacterial SSU rRNA". It matches the Rfam family "Bacterial small subunit ribosomal RNA", at positions 417 to 1533 of the family's 1533-position model. Lineage: Bacteria; Pseudomonadati; Pseudomonadota; Gammaproteobacteria; Enterobacterales; Morganellaceae. The record is from RNAcentral.